This is a long non-coding RNA of Rosa rugosa (rugosa rose), 182 nucleotides long. RefSeq lists it as uncharacterized. The transcript has 3 exons. NCBI's taxonomy places the organism in Eukaryota, Viridiplantae, Streptophyta, Magnoliopsida, Rosales, Rosaceae. The record is from RefSeq and is a predicted model, not a curated record.
UUUAUCAUGGGGCUUUGCAAUUCAGGUUUGAGCAUAUAAGCUUGGUGUCUAUUGGCUUGCUGGUGAAGUUUUCAGGGGCUUAAAAUUUAUCAGGGUCUCGAACUUGAUAUUGACCGGUUUGAUCUCCAGAAAGUAAAAUUACCGGCCAGUUCAAGCUUGAUAUGCUGGACUGUUUGAAGAAA